GACGAACGCUGGCGGCGUGCUUAACACAUGCAAGUCGAACGGAAAGGCCCUGCUUGCAGGGUACUCGAGUGGCGAACGGGUGAGUAACACGUGGGUGAUCUGCCCUGCACUUCGGGAUAAGCCUGGGAAACUGGGUCUAAUACCGGAUAGGAGCCAUUUUUAGUGUGAUGGUUGGAAAGUUUUUUCGGUGUAGGAUGAGCUCGCGGCCUAUCAGCUUGUUGGUGGGGUAAUGGCCUACCAAGGCGGCGACGGGUAGCCGGCCUGAGAGGGUGGACGGCCACAUUGGGACUGAGAUACGGCCCAGACUCCUACGGGAGGCAGCAGUGGGGAAUAUUACACAAUGGGCGCAAGCCUGAUGCAGCGACGCCGCGUGGGGGAUGACGGCCUUCGGGUUGUAAACUCCUUUCGCUAGGGACGAAGCUUUUUGUGACGGUACCUAGAUAAGAAGCACCGGCUAACUACGUG
This 465-nucleotide ribosomal RNA is filed under the name uncultured bacterium. RNAcentral describes it as "partial 16S ribosomal RNA". It matches the Rfam family "Bacterial small subunit ribosomal RNA", at positions 28 to 507 of the family's 1533-position model. The record is from RNAcentral.